AUAUAUAUAUAUAUAUAUAAAAAUCGUCAACCUAAAAAUUUAUAGCUUACAACUAUAAAACAAUGGGAGUGGAAAAUUAAUAAAUUUGGAAAUUGGUUUUCCAUUAUUUGUAGAUAAUUAAGCAUGUAAUUACUAAUCUACCAACCUCUGCAUCGCAAUCCUUUCUAUAAAUACAUCCAAGCAAUUCACAGAAAAAGAUAACAGACAUAAGAUGGACCCCAAUGCUCCUCCUUGGAUUCCCUUCUAUUUCAUAUAUAUUCAAAAAGCAACAGGAAGCAAACAACUCCAAUACCACACAUGAAAAAUUAUCACAACUCUUCCACAUAUAGCACACAGAAUAAUCAAGAUGCAAUUUUAUUUGGGUUUACUGCCUUCCCAGAAUGGAUUUGAUCCACCAAAUUCCUUUGGUGUCCUUGGGGCCAUCUUCUCCCUCUGGUGGUGGGUCUGUUUGUAGUGUCUUGUGUAGCUUGCUCACAUCAUACCCUUCUUCUUUGGCCUUCUCCACCAGCUGGUUGUAGAUCUCAUCAUCAAGAUGAGUUUGCCUGCAAAGAAUCCAAAGGUAAUUCCUACUGGGUUGCCCAAUCAAAGCAUAACUAUAGUUGUCAUCUAAAAUCAAAAUCCAGUAAUCCCCAACAACAGGAAUGAUGGGCAAGAAAGGAGGGACAUAAAAUUUAACCUUGAGCUUAGCUUCAUCACUUGUGGGAUCAGCCUUGUAGGCUGUACCCUCUAUAUACCCUCUUUUCCCAUCAGUCCAUGUCUCAUUCAGGACAUGAACAGUACCAUCCUCAUUCAAAGUGUAGGUAGCCCUUGUAUUCACUCCAUUCUUGGGCUGAAAUCUUGAUGGGAAUGAAGCUAUUUCAUACCAUCUCCCCAUGUACCUCUUUAGGUCUACACCCUUCACCACUUCCAUCUCUUUCUUUGAUGCCAUAUCAAUUGUUUCCUGUGAAAAGUAAGAGGAUCUCUGCUAUGGGUUUGUUGGAGUGAUUCUUGGAUGUAGAUA
This 1000-nucleotide unclassified non-coding RNA is filed under the name Hevea brasiliensis (rubber tree). Lineage: Eukaryota; Viridiplantae; Streptophyta; Magnoliopsida; Malpighiales; Euphorbiaceae. The record is from RNAcentral.